GAAAUGCGAUAAGUAGUGUGAAUUGCAGAAUUCAGUGAAUCAUCGAAUCUUUGAACGCACAUUGCGCUUCCUGGUAUUCCGGGGAGCAUGCUCGUUUCAGAAUCAUUAAAAACUCACAAUCUUUCUGUGCUCUAAGCACAGCUAGCUGCGUGGAUCUGGGGUGUGUUUCGUUGCUCUUGAGCGCGAUCGCCUUAAAAAAAUUGUAUGCAUGUGGAUCCUCUCUUGUGUGGGGUGUCACAUCAAAGUGCAACAGAGAUUUUAUCUUUCUUACAUUUUGGUGAAACAUCACAAACAAGGCAGGCCGUCGUGCAUAUUCUCAAUCAACACAUUGUUGGGGAGCAUUUUCUUACUCCUUAGCUUUGAAACUUGGUCUGAAAUCGAGCAAGAAAACCCGCUGAAC
RNAcentral lists this unclassified non-coding RNA (400 nucleotides) under uncultured Chytridiomycota. RNAcentral's name for it is "sequence contains ITS1". The stretch from base 1 to 105 matches the Rfam family "5.8S ribosomal RNA", at positions 50 to 154 of the family's 154-position model. Lineage: Eukaryota; Fungi; Chytridiomycota. The record is from RNAcentral.